Molecule: ribosomal RNA, 387 nt
Filed under: Triticum aestivum (bread wheat)
Lineage: Eukaryota; Viridiplantae; Streptophyta; Magnoliopsida; Poales; Poaceae
Description: partial small subunit ribosomal RNA
Source: RNAcentral
GUGCUCACACAUGGGAAAUGUGGCAUUUUUCAGCCUGUUGAUCGUCUCAACCUUACGGCGUCACACUCCACUCUCUCUCCCAUUCCUAAAACAUACCGAGGUGCUCUCCAUGAUCCCUACUGUCGUCGUGCAUGGCACGACGAAUUUGAUGCUCUUGUUGCUAAUGGGACUUGGUCACUUGUUCGGCGUCCUCCUCGUGCUCAUGUUGUUUCAGGAAAAUGGAUCUUCAAACACAAGUUCCACUCCGACGGCAGCCUUGCUCGCUAUAAGGCUCGAUGGGUGGUCCGUGGAUAUUCUCAGCAGCCGGGCAUCGACUUCGACGAGACAAUCAGUCCCAUUGUCAAGACAGCCAUGAUUCACAUCGUCCUCAGUCUUGAUGUAUCCUAG